Pteronotus mesoamericanus is the source of this 593-nucleotide long non-coding RNA. RefSeq lists it as uncharacterized. The record is from RefSeq and is a predicted model, not a curated record. Lineage: Eukaryota; Metazoa; Chordata; Mammalia; Chiroptera; Mormoopidae. The transcript has 3 exons.
CCAGGUCAUUGGCAUUCUUCACCUACAGGACUCACAGUAUUUCCCUCAGGACUAAAAGUAGAAUGCAGUUCUAUGGAGGUCCAGCCUCAGUGCCCGUGACACUGUUUGAGACCUGAAACCCUUGCUUUCUCCUCUCCUGGUGCCAUGGGUGCUGUCGUCUCCUCCUUGCUCGGGACGUGCCGCUGAUGCUGAGAUGCCCUCACACCUACUCGCACCUCUGCAGGCAGAGCCUGUCUUCUCUGUCUUCAGCAAAAGAAGGAGUUCAGAGGUGCCUGGUGCCAGCCUGCAGGUUUCUCUUCUGUGUUACUACUCUCUCGACAGCCGCUGGGAGGAGCCACACCCCUCCAGGCUUGAUUGAGCAAUCUUCCAGGUGGAAGCAAGAAGAUAUACUUCCCACGCUAGGAAUGCUUCUUGUCACUGGAUAAAGCCCAAAUCUCCAUAAUGCAGCCUUCUGUGUUUAUAUGACCAUGAAUUCUUGACAUCUUUGACUCCCUAGUAAGCAUGCAAUUUCCAGAUGUAAACUAUCCCUAAAUUAUAGUUUUCUUCAGCUCUAGGUAUGCCGCAAACAUACCUGUUCCUCUCUCGUGUUUAUG